RNAcentral lists this ribosomal RNA (475 nucleotides) under uncultured bacterium. RNAcentral's name for it is "bacterial SSU rRNA". It matches the Rfam family "Bacterial small subunit ribosomal RNA", at positions 343 to 828 of the family's 1533-position model. The record is from RNAcentral.
GGGAGGCAGCAUUGGGGAAUAUUGCACAAUGGGCGUAAGCAUGAUGCAGCAACGCCGCGUGCGGGACGAAGGCCUUCGGGUAGUAAACCGCUUUCAGCAGGGACGAGGCCCUCACGGUGACGGUACCAGCAGAAGAAGCCCCGGCUAACUACGUGCCAGCAGCCGCGGUAAUACGUAGGGGGCGAGCGUUAUCCGGAUUCAUUGGGCGUAAAGCGCGCGUAGGCGGCCUGUUAGGUCGGGGGUCAAAUACCGGGGCUCAACCCCGGUCCGCCCCCGAUACCGGCAGGCUUGAGUCUGGUAGGGGAAGGCGGAAUUCCCAGUGUAGCGGUGGAAUGCGCAGAUAUUGGGAAGAACACCGGCGGCGAAGGCGGCCUUCUGGGCCACGACUGACGCUGAGGCGCGAAAGCUAGGGGAGCGAACAGGAUUAGAUACCCUGGUAGUCCUAGCCGUAAACGAUGGACGGUAGGUGUUGGGG